This 203-nucleotide long non-coding RNA is filed under the name Elaeis guineensis (African oil palm). Its description in RNAcentral is "long non-coding RNA (EGUI_LNC075322)". Lineage: Eukaryota; Viridiplantae; Streptophyta; Magnoliopsida; Arecales; Arecaceae. The record is from RNAcentral.
CCUCAAUCUGUGCCUCAGCAUUUGGAGCAGAAGCCUCCUCUGACUCUCUAGAAUGAUAAGAUGGCUCUGCAUCUCGACGGUCCACUUCCAUCCUUUUCUGCUGUCCUUCGUUGCUUUCGAAUCAGCGAAGUGCUUUUUCAUCAACUGUCGGACUUUCUGCGGGCAUUUUCGAUCCAUAGAUACAUCAGGAUAACUACCAGUCA